GUGGGGAAUAUUGGACAAUGGGCGAAAGCCUGAUCCAGCCAUGCCGCGUGUGUGAAGAAGGUCUUCGGAUUGUAAAGCACUUUAAGUUGGGAGGAAGGGCAGUAAGUUAAUACCUUGCUGUUUUGACGUUACCGACAGAAUAAGCACCGGCUAACUACGUGCCAGCAGCCGCGGUAAUACGUAGGGUGCAAGCGUUAAUCGGAAUUACUGGGCGUAAAGCGCGCGUAGGUGGUUCAGCAAGUUGGAGGUGAAAUCCCCGGGCUCAACCUGGGAACUGCCUCCAAAACUACUGAGCUAGAGUACGGUAGAGGGUAGUGGAAUUUCCUGUGUAGCGGUGAAAUGCGUAGAUAUAGGAAGGAACACCAGUGGCGAAGGCGACUACCUGGACUGAUACUGACACUGAGGUGCGAAAGCGUGGGGAGCAAACAGGAUUAGAAACCCCGGUAGUCC
Molecule: ribosomal RNA, 450 nt
Filed under: uncultured bacterium
Lineage: Bacteria
Description: partial 16S ribosomal RNA
Rfam family: Bacterial small subunit ribosomal RNA
Source: RNAcentral